RNAcentral lists this long non-coding RNA (432 nucleotides) under Triticum aestivum (bread wheat). RNAcentral describes it as "long non-coding RNA (TAES_LNC024489)". The record is from RNAcentral. Lineage: Eukaryota; Viridiplantae; Streptophyta; Magnoliopsida; Poales; Poaceae.
UCGCUGAUAAAAGCAAUCAGAUCGUAAAGAUAUAUUGCUUGGCAGCUCAUGUCGUUCCCAUGGAACCUCGAACCGUUUGCGUUUCUUGGCCUUGUGAUCCUAAUAUGAACCGCCGGCAAUAGCUUUACUUUUCACAUAGUUCACACACAUAACCAACUGAAUGGACAUAGAUAAACCCCCUUUUCUCUUCAAAAUGAAGACGUUUGCAAACUUGAAGCCACGAGAAUAGCUUCCAAACGAUCAAAGAUCGGAUUACCACCUGCUAUACACCACUGAUUAAUUCCCAUCCAUCAAUGUCACAUGAUAUUCUAACCAUGAACUGCACACAGUACCUGGUCUUCGCACCUGUGGCGUUGCAAACUGCAUACAGGGUGGUCACCAAGGGGUGGGGGGACAUGAACCUAGCCUACGCCGCCAUCUUGCCAGCUCUGC